GACGAACGCUGGCGGCGUGCUUAACACAUGCAAGUCGAACGAAGUGGCGAACGGGUGAGUAACGCGUAAUCAACCUGCCCUUCAGAGGGGGACAACAGUUGGAAACGACUGCUAAUACCGCAUACUGAAGGAGGGGAUUGCGUCUGAUUAGCUAGUUGGAGGGGUAACGGCCCACCAAGGCGAUGAUCAGUAGCGCGGCGGAGAGGAUGAACGGCCACAAUGGGACUGGGACACGGCCCAGACUCCUACGGGAGGGAGCAGUGGGGAAUCUUCCGCAAUGGACGAAAGUCUGUGUGAGCAACGCCGCGUGAGUGAGGACGGCCUGCGGGUUGUAAAGCUCUGUUAAUCGGGACGCGGUACCGGAAUAGAAAGCCACGGCUAACUACGUGCCAGCAGCCGCGGUAAUAC
RNAcentral lists this ribosomal RNA (408 nucleotides) under uncultured bacterium. Its description in RNAcentral is "partial 16S ribosomal RNA". It matches the Rfam family "Bacterial small subunit ribosomal RNA", at positions 28 to 526 of the family's 1533-position model. The record is from RNAcentral.